CCUACGGGAGGCUGCAGUGGGGAAUAUUGGACAAUGGGGGCAACCCUGAUCCAGCCAUGCCGCGUGUGUGAAGAAGGCCCUCGGGUUGUAAAGCACUUUCAGUGAGGAAGAACGCCUGGUGGUUAAUACCCAUCAGGAAAGACAUCACUCACAGAAGAAGCACCGGCUAACUCCGUGCCAGCAGCCGCGGUAAUACGGAGGGUGCGAGCGUUAAUCGGAAUUACUGGGCGUAAAGCGCGCGUAGGUGGCUUGAUAAGCCGGUUGUGAAAGCCCCGGGCUCAACCUGGGAACGGCAUCCGGAACUGUCAAGCUAGAGUGCAGGAGAGGAAGGUAGAAUUACCGGUGUAGCGGUGAAAUGCGUAGAGAUCGGGAGGAAUACCAGUGGCGAAGGCGGCCUUCUGGACUGACACUGACACUGAGGUGCGAAAGCGUGGGUAGCAAACAGGAUUAGAUACCCUUGUAGUC
Molecule: ribosomal RNA, 465 nt
Filed under: Vreelandella stevensii
Lineage: Bacteria; Pseudomonadati; Pseudomonadota; Gammaproteobacteria; Oceanospirillales; Halomonadaceae
Description: partial 16S ribosomal RNA
Rfam family: Bacterial small subunit ribosomal RNA
Source: RNAcentral